RNAcentral lists this ribosomal RNA (491 nucleotides) under uncultured Enterobacterales bacterium. RNAcentral's name for it is "bacterial SSU rRNA". It matches the Rfam family "Bacterial small subunit ribosomal RNA", at positions 48 to 528 of the family's 1533-position model. Lineage: Bacteria; Pseudomonadati; Pseudomonadota; Gammaproteobacteria; Enterobacterales. The record is from RNAcentral.
CUAACACAUGCAAGUCGAACGGCAGCACAGAGGAGCUUGCUCCUUGGGUGACGAGUGGCGGACGGGUGAGUAAUGUCUGGGAAACUGCCCGAUGGAGGGGGAUAACUACUGGAAACGGUAGCUAAUACCGCAUAACGUCGCAAGACCAAAGAGGGGGACCUUCGGGCCUCUUGCCACCGGAUGUGCCCAGAUGGGAUUAGCUAGUAGGUGGGGUAACGGCUCACCUAGGCGACGAUCCCUAGCUGGUCUGAGAGGAUGACCAGCCACACUGGAACUGAGACACGGUCCAGACUCCUACGGGAGGCAGCAGUGGGGAAUAUUGCACAAUGGGCGCAAGCCUGAUGCAGCCAUGCCGCGUGUAUGAAGAAGGCCUUCGGGUUGUAAAGUACUUUCAGCGAGGAGGAAGGCGUUGUGGUUAAUAACCGCAACGAUUGACGUUACUCGCAGAAGAAGCACCGGCUAACUCCGUGCCAGCCGCCGCGGUAAAAGGG